AUGAGGUUGUCUUUCGGUGGUUCCAUAUGGUGUCACCUCUGGUUUUCUAUGAGCCGGUCAGGUCUUAAGAGUAUGCAUGCUUUCUGUACAAGUUAGCUCUCUAAUUUCUGUACGUGUGACCGCUGUCUGAGUCUUGUCUUGUCCUUGAGUCCUCUCUUUGCCUCUUGAAAAAUAUGUCAAAAGGAGAAGACCCCAUGCAGGAAAAAUAUGUUAGGGACUGUUCUAAUAGGAUACUUUGCUAGUAUCAUAUAAAUGUCUACCUAACCUAAGUAGGUACUGUAGUCACCUCCUUCAAUUUUGACCAACUAAAAAUAAUUGCAUUUUUAUCAUCAUUCAUUGUGUAUUUGUUUUAGAUUCCAUCUAAAUGAAUUCCACUGCAUAAGAGAGAUAAAGUACAACAUGGUACUAGUAGCAACAUUCAUUCAUAUGCAAGGUUCUGUCCCCAUCUAAUCUCAUCAGUCAUCACUAUUCUUGUGCUUUAAAUUUGUGCCUGCAAACUAGUUCAUAAUUUUAGGGUGCUUUCAUUUUCAGGUCUGCCGGUACUGGGGUUCUGGCCAAGUCAGAUUGCACGUGGCUGUAAGAGUUUGUUUGUCCUUUAAGUUCAUAACUAUAUAGUUAUUGCAUAAGUCACAAAAACUGAGGCUGUUUGCUGGUUUUGUUGUCUUCAGGACUGUCAGCACCAAAAAUUUGCAGGUGGGAGGGCAUAUUUUUGGGUUUGCCAUCUCUAAUCAUUAGGUGAUGUUGCUCGCCUUUUCGUGGUCACGGAUCCCUAACUCGAAGAUUAUCCGUGCUUAAAUUCUUGUUCGAUUAAAGGGCGUUUGACACAUGUAAUGUGUUUGAAAGUUUAAAAGUGUACCGUAAAAUGUUACUUGCGUAGAAGUAAUUUUUUCAAAGGCCAAGUUAUUUAACUAACGAACACAACGUUUGGAAUAUAAAUGCACCGUACUAAAAAUAGUGUUGAGAACUAUUUUUCCAUAGUUGAAAUUUUUA
Molecule: long non-coding RNA, 990 nt
Filed under: Panax ginseng (ginseng)
Lineage: Eukaryota; Viridiplantae; Streptophyta; Magnoliopsida; Apiales; Araliaceae
Description: long non-coding RNA (PGIN_LNC011723)
Source: RNAcentral